GACGAACGCUGGCGGCGUGCUUAACACAUGCAAGUCGAACGGAAAGGCCCUGCUUUUGUGGGGUGCUCGAGUGGCGAACGGGUGAGUAACACGUGAGUAACCUGCCCUUGACUUUGGGAUAACUUCAGGAAACUGGGGCUAAUACCGGAUAGGAGCUCCUGCUGCAUGGUGGGGGGUGGAAAGUUUCGGCGGUUGGGGAUGGACUCGCGGCUUAUCGGCUUGUUGGUGGGGUAGUGGCUUACCAAGGCUUUGACGGGUAGCCGGCCUGGGAGGGUGACCGGCCACAUUGGGACUGAGAUACGGCCCAGACUCCUACGGGAGGCAGCAGUGGGGAAUCUUGCACAAUGGGCGGAAGCGUGAUGCAGCAACGCCGCGUGCGGGAUGACGGCCUUCGGGUUGUAAACCGCUUUCGCCUGUGACGAAGCGUGAGUGACGGUAAUGGGUAAAGAAGCACCGGCUAACUACGUG
Molecule: ribosomal RNA, 468 nt
Filed under: uncultured bacterium
Lineage: Bacteria
Description: partial 16S ribosomal RNA
Rfam family: Bacterial small subunit ribosomal RNA
Source: RNAcentral